CGGGUGUCCCCCCAUCCCCAUCCCCAUCCUGGGCUGGAGCCCGGCCCGCAUCCCGCUCCUCGGGAAGGGUCAGAGGGCAGGAGAAGGGGUUUAGGGAAGGGCCAGACGAUGCAGCCGGUGGGAGGAGGGAUUCGAUCCAGGCUGGGAAAACCUCGGGGGUGGAGCGGGCCAGCCCUUCAGAGCAGCCCUUCUGUGCCCGGCUUUGUUUGACAAAUUAAACAUCUGCCAUUAAAACCCCCCCAGAUUUGGGAUCCAGAGCGGCUCCACAGCCCUGUCUGCGCGGGCAGCGUCCACAAGCAGAGCCUUUGCUGGCCGAGUGCCACAGCCUGCCCUGGUGUCACACCAAACCCAUGGAACGCUCCAGGCGGGGGGACGGAGGGGCUGGAAAGCUGGGGUGCUGUGGCAGUGGCUGGGCAUGAGCCCAGCUGGGGAAGGAGGCCAAGGGCACCUGGCUUGGUUCAAAACCAGUGUGGCCACAGGAGCAGGGCAGUGACAGUCCCCUCUGCUGGGGAGGAUCCUCAGAUCAGGGGGUCGGUUCUGGGACCCUCACGAAAAGAAGGGCAUUGAGGGGCUGGAGCGUGUCCAGAGAAGGGAACGGGGCUGGAGCACAAGGAGAAGGGACUGGAGAACUCCUGGGGGAGCUGGGGCGGCUCAACCUGGAGAAAAGGAGGCUCAGGGGGCACCGGAGGAGCACCCGUCUG
This is a long non-coding RNA of Lepidothrix coronata (blue-crowned manakin), 701 nucleotides long. RefSeq lists it as uncharacterized. The transcript has 3 exons. The record is from RefSeq and is a predicted model, not a curated record. NCBI's taxonomy places the organism in Eukaryota, Metazoa, Chordata, Aves, Passeriformes, Pipridae.